This 305-nucleotide long non-coding RNA is filed under the name Eucalyptus grandis. Its description in RNAcentral is "long non-coding RNA (EGRA_LNC000215)". Lineage: Eukaryota; Viridiplantae; Streptophyta; Magnoliopsida; Myrtales; Myrtaceae. The record is from RNAcentral.
AAUAAAACAAUGGAAUAGAAAAGCAGGGCCAUAUUUUUCAUAUUGAAAUUUAUAACCAAACUUUUAUACAAAACACAAACCACUUCAAAACUAUUCACAUCAAAAUGGAGAUCUCAAAAGAAGACAGAAACUUAGACGAACUGGGCCGUACUCAAGGCCCCUCUCAGGAUUGCCUUCUUCCUCCAAAAAUCUUUCUCCUUAAGAUUCGCCUCCGAGUCCUCCUUCUCGGAUUCCUCCUUCUCAGCUCUUCAGCGUGGUCCUGAAAUGGUUUUCCCCAAACUGGGAUGAGACUACGUCUCAGCGAG